Molecule: long non-coding RNA, 566 nt
Filed under: Gallus gallus (chicken)
Lineage: Eukaryota; Metazoa; Chordata; Aves; Galliformes; Phasianidae
Source: RNAcentral
GAAAGUAGUUAUUGCUUUUAAUUUUGGAUCCUAAAACACUAUAAAAGUACCACUCACCUAAACUUCCACAUAAUGAAGUGCAGUAACCCUUCUGGAAGAACCAGUGGAAAAGAAAAGAGAGAAAAAAAAAUAACAAAAGCAUCAGAAGCAUCACCCUGUGGCACCUGUUGACAGAGGGAUAAAGAAGAAAGUUUAAUCAUUGUUGUGUGACCCCCCUGGACAGCUUUGUGGUUGUCAAUCAGCAUCAUGCAGAGCUGUAGUGUGCCACUCGCAGUGGUGAUGACCAGGCCUGCCCCAGGUUUCUCCUUCACUAUUUUGUAGGACAUCUGUAGUUCUUCCUUUAUCCAGAUUUGUUGCUCAUUCCCUUAAGAUCCCAAUUUAUACAGUCCAUUUUCAAGAUUCAAAUAAAUUUGGAUUUGUUAUAUCUGCAGGUAGAUAUCAGAACAUUCACCUUGCACUCUUUCCUUUGUUCAAGGAGCUUUAUGAGGUUUUUCUGUUUACUGGUAUUAUUUUAUUUUUCAGCUAUAAAUUAACUUUAUAGUAAGCAUAUUUACUCCUGUGCCAGG